CACUUUGUAGUUUUGCAGUUUGUAAGUUUUUGGUGGAUCCCUUUAUGGAGGCAGAGCACAUUCACAAGUAUAGAAAGGGAGGGUGCCUCUUGCAACAAUUCUAGAAUCUUUCUUACGGUGUUAUCUGUUAACUAGGUAACUAUUUAGUAUUUAUUUUAAGGAUUAAUAGGUAUUUUUUUCCAUAUCAUAUCAACCACCUUUGAAAAUUCUUUCCGCAAAAAAAAGACUUUGUCGUUAAUAUUAUUCUCUUG
RNAcentral lists this long non-coding RNA (251 nucleotides) under Lathyrus oleraceus (garden pea). RNAcentral's name for it is "Pisum sativum (pea) long non-coding RNA (PSAT_LNC028221)". Lineage: Eukaryota; Viridiplantae; Streptophyta; Magnoliopsida; Fabales; Fabaceae. The record is from RNAcentral.